CAGUAGCCGCGGUAAUACGAAGGGUGCAAGCGUUACUCGGAAUUACUGGGCGUAAAGCGUGCGUAGGUGGUUGUUUAAGUCUGCUGUGAAAGCCCUGGGCUCAACCUGGGAAUUGCAGUGGAUACUGGGCAACUAGAGUAAGGUAGAGGAUAGUGGAAUUUCCGGUGUAGCAGUGAAAUGCGUAGAGAUCGAGAGGAACACCGGUGGCGAAGGCGGCCAACUGGACAAAGACUGACGCUCAGGUGCGAAAGCGUGGGGAGCAAACAGGAUUAGAUACCCGUGUAGUCCCUGUCUCUUAUAC
Molecule: ribosomal RNA, 301 nt
Filed under: uncultured bacterium
Lineage: Bacteria
Description: partial 16S ribosomal RNA
Rfam family: Bacterial small subunit ribosomal RNA
Source: RNAcentral